AUUGAACGCUGGCGGAAUGCUUUACACAUGCAAGUCGAGCGGCAGCACGGGGGCAACCCUGGUGGCGAGCGGCGAACGGGUGAGUAAUACAUCGGAACAUGCCCAGUCGUGGGGGAUAACACUUCGAAAGAAGUGCUAAUACCGCAUACGUCCUGAGGGAGAAAGCGGGGGAUCGCAAGACCUCGCGCGAUUGGAGUGGCCGAUGUCAGAUUAGCUAGUUGGUGGGGUAAAGGCCUACCAAGGCAACGAUCUGUAGCUGGUCUGAGAGGAUGAUCAGCCACACUGGGACUGAGACACGGCCCAGACUCCUACGGGAGGCAGCAGUGGGGAAUUUUGGACAAUGGGGGCAACCCUGAUCCAGCCAUUCCGCGUGAGUGAAGAAAGCCUUCGGGUUGUAAAGCUCUUUCGGCAGGAACGAAACGGCGAGCUCUAACAUAGCUUGCUAAUGACGGUACCUGAAGAAGAAGCACCGGCUAACUACGUG
RNAcentral lists this ribosomal RNA (484 nucleotides) under uncultured bacterium. RNAcentral's name for it is "partial 16S ribosomal RNA". It matches the Rfam family "Bacterial small subunit ribosomal RNA", at positions 30 to 507 of the family's 1533-position model. The record is from RNAcentral.